Molecule: small nucleolar RNA, 145 nt
Filed under: Salvator merianae (Argentine black and white tegu)
Lineage: Eukaryota; Metazoa; Chordata; Lepidosauria; Squamata; Teiidae
Description: Small nucleolar RNA SNORA79 (ENSSMRG00000006631.1)
Rfam family: Small nucleolar RNA SNORA79
About the family: ACA65 (SNORA79) is a member of the H/ACA class of snoRNAs that guide the sites of modification of uridines to pseudouridines. This snoRNA was identified by computational screening and its expression in mouse experimentally verified by Northern blot and primer extension analysis.
Source: Rfam by way of RNAcentral
UGAUGACUGUUCCUCUUGCUGUUGCAAGCUCAGACAGUGAGAUUUGAAGUCAUCAAAUAUUAAAGUUGACUUUUCUUCACUCAAGGUGUCUUUGGAUGGGUUGGCUGUCCGUUGGCACUCUUGAACUUUGCGGGGUCACACAUUC